GUUUCAGCAGCCGCGGUAAGACAGAGGCCACAAGCGUUAGGCGGAAUCACUGGGCUUAAAGCGUGUGUAGGCGGACCGUUAAGUGCCUUGUGAAAUCCCACGGCUCAACCGUGGAACGGCUGGGCAGACUGGCGGUCUUGAGCUGCCUAGGGGCGACUGGAACAAACGGUGGAGCGGUGAAAUGCGUAGAUAUCGUUUGGAACGCCAACGGUGAAAACAGGUCGCUGGGGGCAAGCUGACGCUGAGACACGAAAGCCAGGGGAGCAAACGGGAUUAGAUACCCCCGUAGUCC
This 292-nucleotide ribosomal RNA is filed under the name uncultured bacterium. RNAcentral's name for it is "partial 16S ribosomal RNA". It matches the Rfam family "Bacterial small subunit ribosomal RNA", at positions 505 to 796 of the family's 1533-position model. The record is from RNAcentral.